AACGCACAUUGCGCCCUUUGGUAUUCCGAAGGGCAUGCCUGUUCGAGCGUCAUUAUCACCCCUCGAGCCUCGUGCUUGACGUUGGACGGUUUUGGUCGGGCACCCCCCGACCCCUCCUAAAGACAAUGACGGCGGCUUGUGGUUCCCCCGGUACACUGAGCUUCUCACCGAGCACGUACUGGACAAGGGCGCCCGGGCGCGGUCUUCUUCCUUGCAUAAGGAAAAUUUUACCAGGUUGACCUCGGAUCAGGUAGGAAUACGCGCUGAACUUAA
Molecule: unclassified non-coding RNA, 273 nt
Filed under: uncultured fungus
Lineage: Eukaryota; Fungi
Description: partial contains 5.8S ribosomal RNA, internal transcribed spacer 2, and large subunit ribosomal RNA
Rfam family: 5.8S ribosomal RNA (bases 1-52)
Source: RNAcentral